CCUUAUUGCUCUCUACAGCUAUCUGAAAGGAAGUAGUGGGGAGCUGGGGGUAAGCCUCUUCUUGCAGAUAACUAGUGAUAGGACUGGAGGGAAUGGCCUCAAGUUGUGCCAGGAGAGGUUCAAGUUGGAAAUUAAGAGACAUUUCUUCGCAGAAGGAGUAGUCAGGCAUUGGAAUGGGUUGCCCAGGGAAGUGGUGGAGUCACCAUCCCUGGGGGUGUUUAAGGAAAGGUUGGAAUUUGUGCUUAGGGACAUUUAGCUGAACAGACCC
Molecule: long non-coding RNA, 268 nt
Organism: Oxyura jamaicensis (ruddy duck)
Lineage: Eukaryota; Metazoa; Chordata; Aves; Anseriformes; Anatidae
Exons: 3
Source: RefSeq, a predicted model, not a curated record